This is a long non-coding RNA of Mesocricetus auratus (golden hamster), 267 nucleotides long. RefSeq lists it as uncharacterized. NCBI's taxonomy places the organism in Eukaryota, Metazoa, Chordata, Mammalia, Rodentia, Cricetidae. The transcript is spliced from 2 exons. The record is from RefSeq and is a predicted model, not a curated record.
GAAGUGCCCUUCAGAAGGCUGAGGAUGGGAGAGCAUCCCACGCGUUCACACUCACUGGCAUUCAUGGGAAGAUGAUGUCGUAUUUGAGGAUGGGCAGACCCAUGCAGACCCCACCCCCUGCUGGCCUCCGACUUUGGAUGCUCCUCCUAUCUCAGCCUCAAGAAUGCUGGAAUUAUGAGUCACCAUGCCCAGAUCUUUGUUUUAUUUUUAAUCCUCCUUUUUCUUGCUUGUGACCACUAGGCAAAUAUUAAAGGAACUACAACCAAA